CUAAGUUUGAUGGCGACCGGCGCACGGGUGAGUAACACGUAUCCAACCUGCCGAUGACUCGGGGAUAGCCUUUCGAAAGAAAGAUUAAUACCCGAUGGCAUAGUUCUUCCGCAUGGUAGAACUAUUAAAGAAUUUCGGUCAUCGAUGGGGAUGCGUUCCAUUAGGUUGUUGGCGGGGUAACGGCCCACCAAGACUCGAUGGAUAGGGGUUCUGAGAGGAAGGUCCCCCACAUUGGAACUGAGACACGGUCCAAACUCCUACGGGAGGCAGCAUG
This 274-nucleotide ribosomal RNA is filed under the name uncultured bacterium. RNAcentral's name for it is "partial 16S ribosomal RNA". It matches the Rfam family "Bacterial small subunit ribosomal RNA", at positions 79 to 353 of the family's 1533-position model. The record is from RNAcentral.